Long non-coding RNA from Oncorhynchus tshawytscha (Chinook salmon), 2390 nucleotides. The record is from Ensembl. NCBI's taxonomy places the organism in Eukaryota, Metazoa, Chordata, Actinopteri, Salmoniformes, Salmonidae.
ACACACACACUGGACACACACACACACACACACACACACACACACACACACACACACACACACACACACACACACACACUGGACACACACACACACACACUGGACACACACACACACACUGGACACACACACACACUGGACACACACACACACUCUGGACACACACACACACUGGACACACACACACACACUGGACACACACACACACUCUGGACACACACACACUGGACACACACACACUGUACACACACACAUUCUGGACACACACACACACUGGACACACACACAUACACACACACACACUGGACACACACACACACACUGGACACACACACACACUGGACACACACACACUGGACAAACACACACUGGACAAAUACACACACACACACACACACACACACACUGUGGACACACACACACACACACACACACACACACACACUGGACACACACACACUGGACACACACACACACACACAGACAGUGGACACACACAGACAGUGGACACACACACCACACACACUGGACACACACACACACUGGACACACACACACACACACACACACACACACUGGACACACACACACACUGGACACACACACACACUGGACACACACACACUGGACACACACACACACACACACACACACACACACACUGGACACACACACACACACAGGACACACACACACACACACUGGACACACACACACACACACAGACAGGACACACACACACAGACACACACACACACACACACAGACAGGACACACACACACACUGGACACACACACACAUACUCUGGACACACACACACACAUACUCUGGACACACACACACACUGGACACACACACACACACACUGGACACACACACACACACUGGACACACACACACACACUGGACACACACACACUGGACACACACACACACUCUGGACACACACACACUGGACAAACACACACUGGACACACACACACACACUGGACACACACACACACUGGACACACACACACAGACACACACACACUGGACACACACACACACUGGACACACACACAUACUCUGGACACACACACACACACUCUGGACACACACACACAUACUCUGGACACACACACACACUGGACACACACACACAUACUCUGGACACACACACACACUGGACAAAUACACACACACACACACACACACUGGACAAACACACACUGGACAAAUACACACACACACAUAAACACACACACAGGACACACACGCACACUGGACACACACACUCUGGGCACACACACACACGGGACACACACACACUGGACACACACACACACUGGACACACACACUCAGGAAACACACAUUCUACACACACACACACUCUGGACACACACACACACUGGACACGGACACACACUGGACAAAUACACACACACACACUCUGGACACACACACACUGGACAAACACACACUGGACAAACACACACACACACACAAACACACACACAGGACAAACACGCACACUGGACACACACACACACACACACACACACUGGACACACACACACACUCUGGACACACAAUCUGGACACACACACACACACACUCUGGACACACACACACACACACUCUGGACACACACACACACACACUGGACACACACACACACACACUGGACACACACACACACACUCUGGACACACACACACACACACACUCUGGGCACACACACACACACAAUCUGCACACACACACACACACACUCUGGACACACACACACACACUCUGGACACACACACACACACACAUUCUGGACACACACACACAUACGCGUCUUUCUAUAGUUGUGAGGACCUCUUACAACAACACUGUUAAAAUACCAAUGUGAUCAUGUGUUGUCUUUUAUGUUGAAAAACAAAUUGUACAAUUAUAUAUAAUUAUAUAUGGACAUACGCUCCAUAGUUGUACAAGUAUACAAGGAUAUAUUGUACUUUUCAUAAUAAAACAUACUUGAAACAAGAAAAGGCUGUUAAUUGUGAAAACAGUUUGUUUAUUGAUUUUACGUUUCCUCUGUCAGGUUGAUGUUAACCUGCGACUGGUUGAAACAUGAAACAAAUAUGAAAUGAAAUACAAAACAAUUAAAUAUGUGGAAUAGAAUUAAACAAAUUGUAAUACAACAGGGUCACUAUAGCAACAGAGUGUUGUAGUGCAGGGUCACUAUAGCAACAGAGUGUUGUGAUGCAGGGUCACUAUAGCAACAGAGUGUUGUGAUGCAGGGUCACUAUAGCAACAGAGUGUUGUAAUGCAGGGUCACUAUAGCAACAGAGUGUUGUGAUGCAGGGUCACUAUAGCAACAGAGUGUUGUGAUGCAGGGUCACUAUAGCAACAGAGUGUUGU